Molecule: ribosomal RNA, 407 nt
Filed under: uncultured bacterium
Lineage: Bacteria
Description: partial 16S ribosomal RNA
Rfam family: Bacterial small subunit ribosomal RNA
Source: RNAcentral
AUUGAACGCUGGCGGCAGGCCUAACACAUGCAAGUCGAGCGGAGCGGCGGACGGGUGAGUAAUGCCUAGGAAUCUGCCUGGGAGUGGGGGAUAACGUCCGGAAACGGGCGCUAAUACCGCAUACUCUCAGAUGAGCCUAGGUCGGGUUAGCUAGUUGGUGGGGUAAAGGCCUACCAAGGCGACGAUCCGUAACUGGUCUGAGAGGAUGAUCAGUCACCAUGGAACUUAGAACCGGUCCAGACUCCUACGGGAGGCAGCAGUGGGGAAUAUUUGACAAUGGGCGAAAGCCUGAUCCCGCCCUUCCGUGUGUUGGAAGAAGGUUUUCGGAUUUUAAAGCACUUUAAGUUGGGAGGCGUUACCAACAGAAUAAGCACCGGCUAACUUCGUGCCAGCAGCCGCGGUAAUUC